AGCUUUGUUCCGGUCACUGCCGGAAGUGGGUGACGGGCGGGGUCGGUUGCCGUGGCAACGCGGGGCUGUUUACCAGCGGGGCUGGGCGAGGGCUGCCGGAUGGAGCGGCGCGGAGACGUUUAAUUUACUGAUCAUUUCCAUUUUACUGAGACAAGAGAGGAAGGCGGAGAAACAAGGUGUUAAAUAACACAUCACUGGCAAAAGGCCCAUGAGCAGCUGGUUUUCCAACGCUAGUUAAUUUGAUGAAUACGGUGGAACAUGAAUGUUGGCAUCCCCCUUGGAGUAACAGACGGUUUAUGCACUUGAGAAGAGACGUUGGAUUAUGAAGGUGUCUUGAGAAGCAAUGGCCACAGUAGCACCUCUGAACAUAGUACCAUCUGAAUGCAACACCACUUUGGGCACUGCAGAAGCUUUCAUUUGGCGGUCAGACACCAUCAAUAUGCAUGUCACCCGGCCGAAAUCUGCCAAGGGUCGCACAAGAUCAAGCUUGAAUUACUCCCAUAGUGUGGAGGCCUAUUCUUACAGAGUGCCAUCCUCCCCUCAGCCAGCAGUUCCCUAUGAAGCAGCAAGCAAUCAAAGAGCAUCAUCUACCAAACCAUCUUACCAACCAGGGCAGAUGUCUCCUGAUGAAAUCCCAGAGCUCCUCCAGCGAGUGCCCUUGAGGACCUCCUCCUCCCUGAAUAAGUACAGAGUGCUCCCGUCCAUCAGCAGGAAGGGCUUGGGGAAGAGUGCUGUGGAAACAGUGAUCGAACAGACCAACAAACUGAAAAUGAGUAGUAGACAGGAGGAGCAGCAACAAUCCAAAGCUCUUCCCAGAGAGUUAAAAUCCACUGGUGUAAUGACAGAGAAUGAAGGGGCUAGAGGGGAAUGCUCUAAAGUCCAGCCUCCCAUUUCUGAGAAGAAGCCUUUAAGGAAAACAAGAGAGGAAAGCUUGUCAUCCUCAGUUUUAAACUUGGAGGAGCCACUGAAGAAAGAACCAAGAUUGCUACUUGCCGUUAGGUCUCCUUCUGGUCAAAGAUUUGAACAUCACUUCAGGCCAACAGACAGCCUUCAGACAGUCCUUGCUGUGGCAGAACAAAAGAACACAACCAAAUACAAACGCUGUAGUGUUGAAACGAUGGAAGUGCCUAGGAGGAGCUUUCCUGACCUUACGAUGUCCCUGCAAGAGUGCGGGAUCCCACACAAGUCAGUGUUGUGCAUCCUACAGGAAGAGCAAGAUGGAGAUGUCUAAAUGUACAAUGAUUCUCACACAACUUCUGUCUCCCUUUAGCAUACAACUCUCUUGGAUGCCAUGGAUUUCCCUUUGAUGAGUGGUCUAAGAACUGAACCAGCCUGAUCUGUUUCAGUGGUCUACUUCUUAGUCUGCUGUCUUCCAAGCUCUUCCCUUGAAGUCAACUUGUAUAUAAAUAGUGUGCUGAAAUACUUCUUAUUUUAAAGUGAAUGUACCACUUCCCCAAAUGAAGUCUGAGUCAGAAUAAUACCUGGAACUGGGAAGAUACAAGCAGCACUAUUUAUUCCUAUUUUGAUUCCUUGAAGCUAUAUUAAUGAUCUUCAUAAUAAAGUAGCUUAUUAGCUGCAAGAACAGCUACAGUGGUCAAUACACAGAAAAUGGUCUCAAAGCAAUAACUCAAACUGAGUUUGUGAGAGUAAAUACAUUGCUGGGAGGUGUUAAAAGUAUAAAGUCAAGGGUAAAGUAUAUUCAAGAAUCAAACUAUUCCCAUAUAACCUCAGUGCCUCAAGAGUAUGACUGCUUUGUCUUCUCAUAAAAGGAAAGUCAUGGUUAAGGUGGUCUGAUUCCUGUAUGGAUACAAAGAGGACUUUUUAAAAAAAACUUGUUAGCUUUCUUUCUUCAUCAAGUGCAUAAGAUUGUGAUGCACACCUGUAAAUCAGGAAAUCCAGAGUUAAGGGUGGAUUGCUUGCUGUAACUUUGAAUUUCAGCACUGUUUGCUACAGCAAUUUAAUGUUCUUUUAAAGUGAACUGCAUUAACCUAAGCAACUCACUGUUGCUUUUGCGUUUUGGCUAAAUACAUACAGGAGGAGUUCUGGUGGGGCUGUUAUUUACCAAAUAGACUGUAAGUCAAACUGUUGUGCUAUUUUCUUUCUAUAGUUCAGACAAAUCAACCUGUUCGAGUAGAGUGGCUUGGUCCUGUCUUUCUGUAUUAAUGCAGCUGCUGUGCACGUGCUAAAAACCUCACAUUUUUUUAAGUGGAAAACCUUACUGUCCAUGUGCAGUAGCUGAGUUUGAACACCCUGUAUAAUAAGAGAAUGGGUCAGGUUACCUGACUGGACAGCUUGCCAAAUAAUAGGCUACUUUUGAGUAUUACAGUUGAAACAAAUUCAGUGUUUUUGCCUCACCGCAAUGGCCAAACCAACCUUUUGAAAAGGGUGGUUGAAUAUUUGUGCUUUACUGUGAUCACAUAUGCUGAAUUUCAGUCAAAAGCAAAUAUUUGUAGGCCAGCAAUUAAGCCCCAUAGAACAAGACAGCUGCUGAAAUACUAACACAUGAUGCUGCAAGUGGUGACACUGGUCUGUUGACUUCAAUAGCAGCAUUUAGAUGACUACACUAAGUUAGAAACAUUCUCAAUUGCCUUCGGGGGUACAGCUGUAUCAGAGCUUAGUUGUAAUCCUCAUUAGAAACCUAUUUGAGAACAUGGUAGAAAGAAUGUUUCACUAUGAAAAUUGCCAAGAGCAGUGGGAGGAAUGAACUGUAGGAUUCAUUUUUUACAUGGAAGAAUACAGCAUAUUCUUCUGUUAGUGAGAGAUGGCAGGUUCAAGUGGCAGAACUGAGUGUAGUGUUGUCGGCCAGCACACUGCAGCAUAGAAGAGCCCGCUAAUGCUAAAGAAUGCAAACCACCUCCAUAAGCGAAGCGUUCAGUUCUUUUUGAAUGAAUCUGUGCUAUUAACUGGUGGCUUCCUACCCUUUUAAAUACUUAGUUGUGAAAUGUGACCAAAGCGCUGUAAGAUGUUACCACAGCCAUUGCUUCCUCCGCUACAGGGAAGUCCAGCUGGUUUUCAAACCUUUUCCACUUUAAUGCACCUAUUCAAGUCACAUCUUGGCUAGGAUAAAGGGAAUAUAGGGAUAGUGUCCUGAAGAGCUUUGCUGUGAAAAAAUCAGUGAGCAACUUCACUGGAAACUAUAGUAUUGUUUCGGUAGCUACUGCAGGUUUUAUGGAUUGACACAAUCUCUUCCCCCACAGAUCAGCUAGUCACAUGACAUACAGGAAUAGGCUAAGGGAAGUGGGGAAAAAAAAAAAUCACAUUUAAGCUAUAAAACAAAUACCAGGUCAAGUACUGUCAGUUUACUGUUUGAGAUGUGUGUAUGAUGUUACAUUUAAACAAUGUUAAAUAAACUCUUUUCAGUGUGAACCUAAGACCAGCAAAGAUUUCCUGAGUGCAACUUGGAUUUGAAAUCAAGGGUUUACAUGAACUAGGUUUCACUCUGUCACAUUUCCUCAUACUUUUAACAGCAUGUUCAAUUAGUUGGUUAUAACACAUCUGGGCAGGAGUAAUAAUCAGCCUUUCUAGAGAAAGGAGUCAGACUUCCACAAUUCUACUCAUAC
Molecule: RNA transcript, 3560 nt
Organism: Gopherus flavomarginatus (Mexican gopher tortoise)
Lineage: Eukaryota; Metazoa; Chordata; Testudines; Testudinidae
Gene: UBXN10
Gene name: UBX domain protein 10
Exons: 4
Source: RefSeq, a predicted model, not a curated record